UUAAGCGACUAAGCGUACACGGUGGAUGCCCUGGCAGUCAGAGGCGAUGAAGGACGUGCUAAUCUGCGAUAAGCGUCGGUAAGGUGAUAUGAACCGUUAUAACCGGCGAUUUCCGAAUGGGGAAACCCAGUGUGAUUCGUCACACUAUCAUUACGUGAAUACAUAGCGUAAUGAAGCGAACCGGGGGAACUGAAACAUCUAAGUACCCCGAGGAAAAGAAAUCAACCGAGAUUCCCCCAGUAGCGGCGAGCGAACGGGGAGCAGCCCAGAGUCUGAAUCAGCUUGUGUGUUAGUGGAACGGUCUGGAAAGUCCGACGGUACAGGGUGAUAGUCCCGUACACCAAAAUGCACAGGUUGUGAACUCGAAGAGUAGGGCGGGACACGUGGUAUCCUGUCUGAAUAUGGGGGGACCAUCCUCCAAGGCUAAAUACUCCUGACUGACCGAUAGUGAACCAGUACCGUGAGGGAAAGGCGAAAAGAACCCCGGCGAGGGGAGUGAAAAAGAACCUGAAACCGUGUACGUACAAGCAGUGGGAGCCUACUUGUUAGGUGACUGCGUACCUUUUGUAUAAUGGGUCAGCGACUUAUAUUCUGUAGCAAGGUUAACCGUAUAGGGGAGCCGAAGGGAAACCGAGUCUUAACUGGGCGUUAAGUUGCAGGGUAUAGACCCGAAACCCGGUGAUCUAGCCAUGGGCAGGUUGAAGGUUGGGUAACACUAACUGGAGGACCGAACCGACUAAUGUUGAAAAAUUAGCGGAUGACUUGUGGCUGGGGGUGAAAGGCCAAUCAAACCGGGAGAUAGCUGGUUCUCCCCGAAAGCUAUUUAGGUAGCGCCUCGUGAAUUCAUCUUCGGGGGUAGAGCACUGUUUCGGCUAGGGGGUCAUCCCGACUUACCAACCCCGAUGCAAACUGCGAAUACCGAAGAAUGUUAUCACGGGAGACACACGGCGGGUGCUAACGUCCGUCGUGAAGAGGGAAACAACCCAGACCGCCAGCUAAGGUCCCAAAGUCAUGGUUAAGUGGGAAACGAUGUGGGAAGGCACAGACAGCCAGGAUGUUGGCUUAGAAGCAGCCAUCAUUUAAAGAAAGCGUAAUAGCUCACUGGUCGAGUCGGCCUGCGCGGAAGAUGUAACGGGGCUAAACCAUGCACCGAAGCUGCGGCAGCGACACUAAGUGUUGUUGGGUAGGGGAGCGUUCUGUAAGCCGUUGAAGGUGUGCUGUGAGGCAUGCUGGAGGUAUCAGAAGUGCGAAUGCUGACAUAAGUAACGAUAAUGCGGGUGAAAAACCCGCACGCCGGAAGACCAAGGGUUCCUGUCCAACGUUAAUCGGGGCAGGGUGAGUCGACCCCUAAGGCGAGGCCGAAAGGCGUAGUCGAUGGGAAACAGGUUAAUAUUCCUGUACUUGGUGUUACUGCGAAGGGGGGACGGAGAAGGCUAUGUUAGCCGGGCGACGGUUGUCCCGGUUUAAGCAUGUAGGCGGAGGUUCCAGGUAAAUCCGGUACCUUUUUAACGCUGAGGUGUGAUGACGAGGCACUACGGUGCUGAAGUAACAAAUGCCCUGCUUCCAGGAAAAGCCUCUAAGCAUCAGGUAACACGAAAUCGUACCCCAAACCGACACAGGUGGUCAGGUAGAGAAUACCAAGGCGCUUGAGAGAACUCGGGUGAAGGAACUAGGCAAAAUGGUGCCGUAACUUCGGGAGAAGGCACGCUGAUAUGUAGGUGAAGCGGUUUACCCGUGGAGCUGAAAUCAGUCGAAGAUACCAGCUGGCUGCAACUGUUUAUUAAAAACACAGCACUGUGCAAACACGAAAGUGGACGUAUACGGUGUGACGCCUGCCCGGUGCCGGAAGGUUAAUUGAUGGGGUUAUCCGUAAGGAGAAGCUCUUGAUCGAAGCCCCGGUAAACGGCGGCCGUAACUAUAACGGUCCUAAGGUAGCGAAAUUCCUUGUCGGGUAAGUUCCGACCUGCACGAAUGGCGUAAUGAUGGCCAGGCUGUCUCCACCCGAGACUCAGUGAAAUUGAACUCGCUGUGAAGAUGCAGUGUACCCGCGGCAAGACGGAAAGACCCCGUGAACCUUUACUAUAGCUUGACACUGAACACUGGUCCUUGAUGUGUAGGAUAGGUGGGAGGCUUUGAAGUGUGGACGCCAGUCUGCAUGGAGCCAUCCUUGAAAUACCACCCUUUAAUGGCUGGUGUUCUAACGUGGACCCGUUACCCGGGUUGCGGACAGUGUCUGGUGGGUAGUUUGACUGGGGCGGUCUCCUCCUAAAGAGUAACGGAGGAGCACGAAGGUUAGCUAAUCCUGGUCGGACAUCAGGAGGUUAGUGCAAAGGCAUAAGCUAGCUUGACUGCGAGAGUGACGGCUCGAGCAGGUGCGAAAGCAGGUCUUAGUGAUCCGGUGGUUCUGAAUGGAAGGGCCAUCGCUCAACGGAUAAAAGGUACUCCGGGGAUAACAGGCUGAUACCGCCCAAGAGUUCAUAUCGACGGCGGUGUUUGGCACCUCGAUGUCGGCUCAUCACAUCCUGGGGCUGAAGUAGGUCCCAAGGGUAUGGCUGUUCGCCAUUUAAAGUGGUACGCGAGCUGGGUUUAGAACGUCGUGAGACAGUUCGGUCCCUAUCUGCCGUGGGCGCUGGAGAAUUGAGGGGGGCUGCUCCUAGUACGAGAGGACCGGAGUGGACGCAUCACUGGUGUUCGGGUUGUCAUGCCAAUGGCAUUGCCCGGUAGCUAAAUGCGGAAGAGAUAAGUGCUGAAAGCAUCUAAGCACGAAACUUGCCCCGAGAUGAUUUCUCCCUGAGACUUUAAGUCUCCUGAAGGAACGUUGAAGACGACGACGUUGAUAGGUCGGGUGUGUAAGCGUAGCGAUACGUUGAGCUAACCGAUACUAAUGAACCGUGAGGCUUAACCUU
This 2906-nucleotide ribosomal RNA is filed under the name Citrobacter freundii. RNAcentral describes it as "bacterial LSU rRNA". It matches the Rfam family "Bacterial large subunit ribosomal RNA". Lineage: Bacteria; Pseudomonadati; Pseudomonadota; Gammaproteobacteria; Enterobacterales; Enterobacteriaceae. The record is from RNAcentral.